AACAUCGCGCACCUGCGGGAACCUGCGGAGGGAUCAUUACAGAGUUGCAAAACUCCCUAAACCAUUGUGAACGUUACCUAAACCGUUGCUUCGGCGGGCGGCCCGGGUCCUUCCCGGCGCCCAUCGGCCCUCGCGGGCGCCCGCCGGAGGUAAACCAAACUAUUGCAUUGUAUGGCCUCUCUGAGUCUUCUGUACUGAAUAAGUCGAAACUUUCAACAACGGAUCUCAGAUCGGAAGAGC
Molecule: unclassified non-coding RNA, 240 nt
Filed under: soil metagenome
Description: partial contains 5.8S ribosomal RNA, internal transcribed spacer 2, and large subunit ribosomal RNA
Source: RNAcentral